Molecule: non-coding RNA, 45 nt
Filed under: Echinostoma caproni
Lineage: Eukaryota; Metazoa; Platyhelminthes; Trematoda; Plagiorchiida; Echinostomatidae
Source: RNAcentral
GCACUGCUGUAGAGUUCCAAACAGGACGAAAUAGCUGUCCAGUGC